ACGGAAGGCAGCAGUUGGGAAUAUUGGACAAUGGAGGAAACUCUGAUCCAGUGACGCCGCGUGAAGGAAGAAGGUCUUCGGAUUGUAAACUUAUUUUGUCUGGGAAGAAAUCAAUGACUGUACCAGAAGAAAAAGCACCGGCUAACUACGUGCCAGCAGCCGCGGUAAUACGUAGGGUGCAAGCGUUAUCCGGAUUUACUGGGUGUAAAGGGCGAGUAGACGGCGUUGCAAGUCAGAUGUGAAAUCUUGGGGCUCAACUUCAAAAUUGCAUCUGAAACUGUAGUGCUAGAGUGCAGGAGAGGUAAACGGAAUUCCUAGUGUAGCGGUGAAAUGCGUAGAUAUUAGGAAGAACAUCAGUGGCGAAGGCGGUUUACUGGACUGUAACUGACGUUGAGGCGCGAAAGCGUGGGGAGCAAACAGGAUUAGAUACCCUGGUA
Molecule: ribosomal RNA, 437 nt
Filed under: uncultured Clostridium sp.
Lineage: Bacteria; Bacillati; Bacillota; Clostridia; Eubacteriales; Clostridiaceae
Also listed under: 1 other name
Description: partial 16S ribosomal RNA
Rfam family: Bacterial small subunit ribosomal RNA
Source: RNAcentral